AUGGCGUCCCACAUCAUCCUGCCGCCGGACGACGACGACGAGCAGCAGCGGAGGGAGGACGAGGAGAACGACGGCGGCGGGAGCGGGGGCGACGGGCAGCAGCAGCAGGCCGGGGGCAACGACGCCAAGGCGGCGCUGCCCUUCUCCGCCAUGUGCGUGCGGAUCUCCCGCGACUCCUACCCCAACCUCCGCGCCCUCCGCAACGCCUCCCACGCCAGCCUCACCGACGCCGCAUACGUCAAGAUCUCCGAGGGCGACUUCGGAUACGUCCUCGACGACGUCCCCCACCUCGCAGACUACCUCCCCGACGUCCCCACUUACCCGAACCCAUUACAAGACCACCCAGCAUAUUCAACUGUCAAGCAGUAUUUUGUCAAUGAAGAUGACACCGUACCACAAAAGGUUGUUGUUCAAAAGAAUAGCCGCCGGGGGGUUCACUUCCGUCGUGCUGGACCCCGUCAGAGGGUUAAUUUUGAGUCAGACGAAGUGAAAGCAUGCAUUGUAAGUUGUGGAGGCCUUUGCCCUGGGCUCAACACUGUUAUCAGGGAGCUGGUGUGUGGCUUGGCGCACAUGUACAAUGUCAACAACAUCUUUGGAAUACAGAAUGGAUACAAGGGCUUCUAUUCUAGCAAUUAUGUUGCUAUUACACCAAAGACAGUCAAUGACAUCCACAAAAGGGGUGGUACAGUCCUUGGAACAUCACGAGGGGGUCAUGAUACAAAAAAAAUUGUUGACAACAUUCAGGAUCGGGGAAUUAAUCAGGUGUAUAUCAUUGGAGGAGAUGGAACUCAGAAGGGAGCAUAUGAGAUCUACAAGGAAAUCCGGAAGCGUGGCCUAAAAGUUGCCGUGGCAGGGGUUCCCAAGACAAUAGACAAUGACAUAGCGAUUAUUGACAAGUCCUUUGGUUUUGAUUCGGCCGUCGAAGAGGCUCAACGUGCCAUUAAUUCAGCUCAUGUGGAAGCUUGCAGUGCUGAGAAUGGAAUAGGCUUGGUAAAACUGAUGGGUCGUUAUAGUGGGUUCAUUGCGAUGUAUGCUACUCUUGCAAGCCGGGAUGUGGAUUGCUGCUUGAUUCCAGAGUCUCCGUUUUAUAUGGAUGGGGAAGGGGGGUUGCUUCAAUAUGUAGAGAGGAGGCUGAAAGAGAACAAACACAUGGUUAUUGUUGUUGCUGAGGGAGCAGGCCAGGAUAUUAUUGCCAAAAGCAUACCCGCUUCAGAUCAGCAAGAUGCAUCUGGAAAUAAGCUGCUUCUUGAUAUUGGUCUCUGGCUGACUCACAAGAUUAAGGAUCACUUCAAGAGCAAAAAGAUGGAGAUGACGAUCAAAUACAUUGAUCCUACCUACAUGAUCCGAGCUAUUCCGAGUAAUGCAGCAGACAAUGUCUACUGCACACUGCUGGCUCACAGUGCCAUCCAUGGCGCAAUGGCGGGUUACAGCUUCACUGUUGGGAUGGUCAAUGGCAGACAUGCCUAUAUACCUUUCUAUAGGGUGACGUCCACACGGAACAAGGUGAAGAUCACUGACCGGAUGUGGGCGAGGCUGCUGUCGUCGACCAACCAGCCAAGCUUCCUGAGCCAGAAGGACAUCGAUGAGGCCAGGGAAGCCGAUAGGCUGGCCAACAAGCCGCCGCUGCCGUCUGUCGCCAACCACAAUGUGGCAAAAGCCUUUGACCAAUCUGCAUCGACUUCGUCCAACGGCGAGAUAUAG
Molecule: ribosomal RNA, 1701 nt
Filed under: Triticum aestivum (bread wheat)
Lineage: Eukaryota; Viridiplantae; Streptophyta; Magnoliopsida; Poales; Poaceae
Description: partial small subunit ribosomal RNA
Source: RNAcentral